Vicia faba (fava bean) is the source of this 234-nucleotide non-coding RNA. NCBI's taxonomy places the organism in Eukaryota, Viridiplantae, Streptophyta, Magnoliopsida, Fabales, Fabaceae. The record is from the annotation of a GenBank genome assembly.
AUGUUGAAGUUUAUUGGGUCAAGAUGGAAGCAUUUCAAGUUCAACAACCUUCGUCUCUUGCAUUCUUCUUCUUCUUCCACUCAAACUGAUUCCCUUUUCUUCGAAUUUCCAAAGCUGGUGACACAAUCAUUCCCAUUCCUUGUAUCCUCAACCAAUGGAUUCAAGAGGGCAAAGACGUCAACCAUUCCGAGCUACAGUUUUUCAUCAAGCAACUCAGAACCCAUCGUCGCUUGA